This 495-nucleotide ribosomal RNA is filed under the name uncultured bacterium. RNAcentral describes it as "partial 16S ribosomal RNA". It matches the Rfam family "Bacterial small subunit ribosomal RNA", at positions 30 to 523 of the family's 1533-position model. The record is from RNAcentral.
AUUGAACGCUGGCGGAAUGCUUUACACAUGCAAGUCGAACGGUAGAGGGGGCAACCCCUCGGGAGUGGCGAACGGGUGAGUAAUAUAUCGGAACGUACCCAGUCGUGGGGGAUAACGUAGCGAAAGUUACGCUAAUACCGCAUACGAUCUAAGGAUGAAAGCGGGGGAUCGCAAGACCUCGCGCGAUUGGAGCGGCCGAUAUCAGAUUAGGUAGUUGGUGGGGUAAAGGCUCACCAAGCCAACGAUCUGUAGCUGGUCUGAGAGGACGACCAGCCACACUGGAACUGAGACACGAUCCAGACUCCUACGGGAGGCAGCAGUGGGGAAUUUUGGACAAUGGACGCAAGUCUGAUCAGCCAUUCCGCGUGCAGGAUGAAGGCCCUCGGGUUGGAAACUGCUUUUGUACGGAACGAAAAGGUCUCUCUUAAUACGGGGGACUCAUGACGGUACCGUAAGAAUAAGCACCGGCUAACUACGUGCCAGCCGCCGCCGUAA